ACCGAUCAAUUGUACAUCCGCUUUUAUACUUCCAUUCCCAGACUCCUAUAUAGGAAUGAGCAAACGAACCGACCCGGCUUGAACCAGCCCGAACCGGACCCGACUUGGGAACUGAAACCGGCCGAAAUUAAGAACCGAAACCGAUCGUCGGUUCUACCGGUUCUUGUCGUGUCUUCAAUGUUGGAACCGGUCAUCGAGAAAUAGCAAUAUACCGUUCCAGUUUUUUCCGGUUCCUACCAAUUCCUAGUUCUAAAAGUCCACAAGAAUAUCAUCCCGGUCCCGGCCCGAUCGGUUUUAACGGCUUUCGGUUCCAGUACCGGUUCCCCGGUUCAAAUGCUCAUCCCUACUCCUGUAUAUCCAUCGUUUGCAUCUUCUUCUCUCUCAGCGACUCAAUCACAACACUAUGUAUCCCUUAUCUACUUUAAUAUGGAGGUAAGAAUGUGUUUCUUGAAUCCUAAUCCUCAAUUUGGUGAAAAAGAAGCUGCCACCUUCUGAUUUCUCUACAAUAUAUGUCUAUGAUUUUAGGAUUCAAUGAUUGUUCGAACAAUAAUAUGAGAUUUGGUGAAAAACAAGCUGCUAUCUUCAAUUUUCUCUACAAUAUAUGUCUACAAUUUUACGAUUUUAGGAUAACAAAUACUUUUUUUAGAAAUCCUUUUGAAGCAUCUUAAAUAUUAUGAAGAUUUAAGCUUAUAUUUUAAUUAAUUAACAAAAUUGUAACUUGUCAUUGUAUUUUGAUUGUGGUUUUAUGGGUGUUUGUAAUUAUGUAAUUGCUUAAUUUCAUUUUAUGCUAGGUCACCUUUUGGGUGGAGUUGCUAAUUCUAACAUUUUUUGCAUUUGAAUCAUGGCUCGG
RNAcentral lists this long non-coding RNA (850 nucleotides) under Lactuca sativa (garden lettuce). RNAcentral's name for it is "long non-coding RNA (LSAT_LNC006498)". The record is from RNAcentral. Lineage: Eukaryota; Viridiplantae; Streptophyta; Magnoliopsida; Asterales; Asteraceae.